This 429-nucleotide ribosomal RNA is filed under the name uncultured bacterium. RNAcentral's name for it is "bacterial SSU rRNA". It matches the Rfam family "Bacterial small subunit ribosomal RNA", at positions 355 to 775 of the family's 1533-position model. The record is from RNAcentral.
UGGGGAAUAUUGCGCAAUGGGGGAAACCCUGACGCAGCGACGCCGCGUGAGCGAAGAAGGCCUUAGGGUUGUAAAGCUCUGUUUUAGGGGACGAAUGUUCACUCCAGUAAUAUGGGGGUGAAAUGACGGUACCCUAAGAGGAAGCCCCGGCUAACUACGUGCCAGCAGCCGCGGUAAGACGUAGGGGGCGAGCGUUGUCCGGAAUUACUGGGCGUAAAGAGCACGUAGGCGGGAACUUAAGUCAGGUGUGAAAGACCGUGGCUCAACCACGGGGUUGCAUUUGAAACUGGGUUUCUUGAGGGCAGGAGAGGAAAGCAGAAUUCCUGGUGUAGCGGUGAAAUGCGUAGAAAUCAGGAGGAAUACCAGUGGCGAAGGCGGCUUUCUGGACUGACCCUGACGCUGAGGUGCGAAAGCGUGGGUAGCAAACAG